GGACCUCCCUCGGGGGUUCACUGCUGCUGGGAAGCAGGACCUCCCUGGGGUCCCUGGGGGGAGGGAAGCAACUAAAAGAUGCCACAGGCUGAGCGGGCGAGGAGGCACUGGGGGCUAGGUCCCCAGCCAGGGCCAGGGGCUGGGGGAGAGGGGAGAUGAAAGGCCCCUGGCACCCCAAUACCUCCUCUGCUGCCUACAGGAGACCUGAGGUUUUCCUUAGGAGAGUCAUCAUUGUAGAGGGGCUUUCGAAAUUUCUAGAAAUGACUUGAGACUGGAUGGCCCUUGAGGACAAUGAGGAAGAGGCGGGGGAUGUGGUUUUUCUUGUGCUACCUGGCCACUCAGCCGACGUGCCAGACAUUACCUAGACUAUUCCGCUCAACGUUCGUAGUAGGCCCACGUGACAGGGGCCACGGUUCAACCCACUGGAGUGGGCGACGCAGGCGACGUAGGCUACACCCCUCUCCAAGAGGGGACCAGGAGAGCCGGCAGAGGAGGAAGCGAAGAGUUCUACCGUAGGCUGCCUACGUCUGCCCUUUGCCUAUGACACACUCUUCCUCGAAGAGCCAACCGUCCUUCUGGGGAACUGGGAGGGUUCCAGCUGGCCUGCCAGGGCGGAGGGGUGGGGCCUGGGUGAGCAGAGCCAGGAGAAAGCCUGCUGACAGGUAGAGCCAUUCCUGGCUUUGAUUCAUUGACCGUCCGGGGCAAGAGCUGGACCAAGUCUCUUGGAAUUACAAAAAUGCCCCACACAUAUUUUCCCUCCCAGCGGUGGUUUUGUUCUCAGCCAGCAGAGAAGGCCUGUCUGCUCUGCUAACCGCCCCCCACCCCCCCACUCCCCACUCAGCC
RNAcentral lists this long non-coding RNA (843 nucleotides) under Mustela putorius furo (domestic ferret). RNAcentral describes it as "lncRNA (ENSMPUG00000030084.1)". Lineage: Eukaryota; Metazoa; Chordata; Mammalia; Carnivora; Mustelidae. The record is from RNAcentral.